RNAcentral lists this ribosomal RNA (498 nucleotides) under uncultured bacterium. RNAcentral describes it as "partial 16S ribosomal RNA". It matches the Rfam family "Bacterial small subunit ribosomal RNA", at positions 30 to 523 of the family's 1533-position model. The record is from RNAcentral.
AUUGAACGCUGGCGGCAUGCCUUACACAUGCAAGUCGAACGGCAGCACGGGGCAACCUGGUGGCGAGUGGCGAACGGGUGAGUAAUGUAUCGGAACGUACCAUUGAGUGGGGGAUAACGUAGCGAAAGUUACGCUAAUACCGCAUAUACCCCGAGGGGGAAAGCAGGGGAUCUUAGGACCUUGUGCUCUUUGAGCGGCCGAUAUCAGAUUAGCUAGUUGGUGAGGUAAAGGCUCACCAAGGCGACGAUCUGUAGCGGGUCUGAGAGGAUGAUCCGCCACACUGGGACUGAGACACGGCCCAGACUCCUACGGGAGGCAGCAGUGGGGAAUUUUGGACAAUGGGGGCAACCCUGAUCCAGCAAUGCCGCGUGUGUGAAGAAGGCCUUCGGGUUGUAAAGCACUUUUGUCCGGAAAGAAAUCCUACCUGUUAAUACCGGGUGGGGAUGACGGUACCGGAAGAAUCAGCACCGGCUAACUACGUGCCAGCCGCCGCCGUAA